Molecule: ribosomal RNA, 458 nt
Filed under: uncultured bacterium
Lineage: Bacteria
Description: partial 16S ribosomal RNA
Rfam family: Bacterial small subunit ribosomal RNA
Source: RNAcentral
CCUACGGGAGGCAGCAGUGAGGAAUAUUGGUCAAUGGACGAGAGUCUGAACCAGCCAAGUAGCGUGAAGGAUGACUGCCCUAUGGGUUGUAAACUUCUUUUAUAUGGGAAUAAAACGUUCCACGUGUGGGAUUUUGUAUGUACCAUAUGAAUAAGGAUCGGCUAACUCCGUGCCAGCAGCCGCGGUAAUACGGAGGAUCCGAGCGUUAUCCGGAUUUAUUGGGUUUAAAGGGAGCGUAGGUGGAUUGUUAAGUCAGUUGUGAAAGUUUGCGGCUCAACCGUAAAAUUGCAGUUGAAACUGGCAGUCUUGAGUAUAGUAGAGGUGGGCGGAAUUCGUGGUGUAGCGGUGAAAUGCUUAGAUAUCACGAAGAACUCCGAUUGCGAAGGCAGUUCACUGGACUGCAACUGACACUGAGGCUCGAAAGUGUGGGUAUCAAACAGGAUUAGAUACCCCUGUUC